AUUGAACGCUGGCGGCAUGCUUUACACAUGCAAGUCGAACGGCAGCACAGCAGAGGUAACUCUGUGGGUGGCGAGUGGCGAACGGGUGAGUAAUACAUCGGAACGUACCCUGUUGUGGGGGAUAACUACGCGAAAGCGUAGCUAAUACCGCAUACGCCCUGAGGGGGAAAGCGGGGGACCCUAAAUAGAGCGCACUGGGGAGUGCGUUGUAUUUAGGGCCUCGCGCAAUAGGAGCGGCCGAUGUCGGAUUAGCUAGUUGGUGAGGUAAAGGCUUACCAAGGCGACGAUCCGUAGCUGGUCUGAGAGGAUGAUCAGCCACACUGGGACUGAGACACGGCCCAGACUCCUACGGGAGGCAGCAGUGGGGAAUUUUGGACAAUGGGCGAAAGCCUGAUCCAGCCAUGCCGCGUGAGUGAUGAAGGUCUUCGGAUCGUAAAGCUCUGUGGGAAGGGACGGAAAAAGACCGACCUAAUACGUCGGAGCUUGACGGUA
This 492-nucleotide ribosomal RNA is filed under the name uncultured bacterium. RNAcentral's name for it is "bacterial SSU rRNA". It matches the Rfam family "Bacterial small subunit ribosomal RNA", at positions 29 to 477 of the family's 1533-position model. The record is from RNAcentral.